This 253-nucleotide ribosomal RNA is filed under the name uncultured bacterium. RNAcentral's name for it is "partial 16S ribosomal RNA". It matches the Rfam family "Bacterial small subunit ribosomal RNA", at positions 524 to 776 of the family's 1533-position model. The record is from RNAcentral.
GACAGAGGUGCCGAGCGUUAGGCGGAAUCACUGGGCUUAAAGCGUGUGUAGGCGGAUCCGUAAGUACCUUGUGAAAUCCCACGGCUCAACCGUGGAACUGCUUGGUAUACUGCGGGUCUUGAGCCACCUAGGGGCAAGUGGAACAAACGGUGGAGCGGUGAAAUGCGUAGAUAUCGUUUGGAACGCCAAUGGUGAAAACAACUUGCUGGGGGUGUGCUGACGCUGAGACACGAAAGCCAGGGGAGCAAACGGG